Molecule: small RNA, 80 nt
Filed under: Xanthomonas phaseoli pv. phaseoli
Lineage: Bacteria; Pseudomonadati; Pseudomonadota; Gammaproteobacteria; Lysobacterales; Lysobacteraceae
Description: sX9 sRNA
Rfam family: Xanthomonas sRNA sX9
Source: RNAcentral
GUGUGCCACCACUCGUACACUGGGGUUCUGAGCGCGCCGUCCGCGCCCACCUGACGGCUGCUCGCUACGCUUUUUUAGCU